Astatotilapia calliptera (eastern happy) is the source of this 1002-nucleotide long non-coding RNA. The record is from Ensembl. NCBI's taxonomy places the organism in Eukaryota, Metazoa, Chordata, Actinopteri, Cichliformes, Cichlidae.
GGGAGCCAGAGCCUUGAACUUUCAGGCCCUUUCAGCCCCUUGUAUGCAGGAGAUAAGAUAAGCCUUGAAACUUUUCUUUUCGAUAAGGUGACUCUGAAUCAUUCUUUUGUUAUCUUGCAAUAGGCCUAGGCUGCUGGGAGCUUGCUAUGAUGCACUGACUUCUUCACAUACUGUUUUCACCCUGUGUAUGUAUUAUUUAUCUCUGGCUCUUCUCUUCCACAUUGUGUCUUUUGUCCUGUCUCUUUACCCUUACCCCCAGCUGGUCAUGGCAGUUUCUUCCUGUUGAAGGGGAGUUUUUGCUUCCCGCUGUUGCAAAGUGCUUGAUCAGGGGGUCAUCUGAAUGUUAUGGUUUUCCUUUACCCUACAAUAUAAAGUGCCUUGAAGUUGUGUUGUGAUUUGGGUAAUGUAUAAAUAAAAUUUAUUUGAACUGUCUCACAGAGAAUCAUCUGUUUUCUCAUUUUAACAUUUUUGUUUCAAUGUAGUUUUUUUUUUUUUUUACUUUACUUUGAAUUUAUUUUUUCAUGAAAUUCACUGUUGUAACCAGAGUCUCCCAAAUCUGUGUUUAACAAAGGGGAGACUCUGGUUGCUUAUCUUAUCCUGGGAGCUGCAGACAUGUAUGAGAAUGACUUGCAAAAGUUGAAAAAAAAAGGAGAAACUGAAUUUCUAGGAAGAACGAGAAAUAACUAGAUGAUUAAAGUGUUUUUUUUUUUUCUUGGCUGUGUUAGCAGCCUGGAUCAAGGCACCUUACUGCACAGGAUUAUCUGUGCUUGAGCUUGAACCAGGGGCCUCAUAAGAUGUGAGCGUCUAUUUUGUUUUGUUUAUAUGAAUCAUGAGGCCCCUGCUAGAAAAGAGGACUGACCGCAACAGGCAUAUAUAAUGAUUUGUUGCACCUUUGCUGGAGGGAUGCCAAUAACCAUGCAACUAACAUUACAGCAUUUCAUAUACCUUCAUUUAUAUGUGGCUUUGCCUGCCACAAAUUGAUUUUCUAUUUUUGGAGCUGCA